Molecule: ribosomal RNA, 497 nt
Filed under: uncultured bacterium
Lineage: Bacteria
Description: partial 16S ribosomal RNA
Rfam family: Bacterial small subunit ribosomal RNA
Source: RNAcentral
GAUGAACGCUGGCGGCGUGCCUAAUACAUGCAAGUCGAGCGAACAGACGAGGAGCUUGCUCCUCUGACGUUAGCGGCGGACGGGUGAGUAACACGUGGAUAACCUACCUAUAAGACUGGGAUAACUUCGGGAAACCGGAGCUAAUACCGGAUAAUAUAUUGAACCGCAUGGUUCAAUAGUGAAAGACGGUUUUGCUGUCACUUAUAGAUGGAUCCGCGCCGCAUUAGCUAGUUGGUAAGGUAACGGCUUACCAAGGCAACGAUGCGUAGCCGACCUGAGAGGGUGAUCGGCCACACUGGAACUGGGCCACGGUCCAGACUCCUACGGGAGGCAGCAGUAGGGAAUCUUCCGCAAUGGGCGAAAGCCUGACGGAGCAACGCCGCGUGAGUGAUGACGGUCUUCGGAUCGUAAAACUCUGUUAUUAGGGAAGAACAAAUGUGUAAGUAACUAUGCACGUCUUGACGGUACCUAAUCAGAAAGCCACGGCUAACUACGUG